This 84-nucleotide transfer RNA is filed under the name Opitutaceae bacterium. RNAcentral describes it as "tRNA-Leu". It matches the Rfam family "tRNA". From Rfam's summary of the family: Transfer RNA (tRNA) molecules are approximately 80 nucleotides in length. The record is from RNAcentral. Lineage: Bacteria; Pseudomonadati; Verrucomicrobiota; Opitutia; Opitutales; Opitutaceae.
GCCCGGGUGAUGGAAUGGCAGACAUGCGGGUCUUAGAAGCCCGUGCCGCAAGGCGUGCAGGUUCGAGUCCUGUCCCGGGCACCA